CCACUUCCCCCAGUGGCUCCGGCGGGGCGCAUCUUGCGCGGAGCAGGCACUGGGGGAGGGGAGAAGGGGGCGCCAUAUCUAGCCGGCUUUUGGAUUUUUUUUGUUUGUUUGUUUAGUUCGAGAACUUCAAACUUGAGUCUUAAAAAAAAGUUUAAGAAGGAGGGGAAAAAAGCCAAGCGCGGGCGGGCAAGAAGGCCCCCCCGCGGCGGCCGGGCUGAGGCCGGGCGCGAACUCAUCGCAGGCGCGCGUCGGCACUGCCGCUUUAAGCAGCCUUGCCCAUUGUUUGCCCCCCGACCAAUGGCGGCGGCGCUGCCCGCUGGGCGCGGCCAAUGAGCGGCGCGCAGGGCAGGCGCGGCGCCGCCCCCGGCUCUAUAAGAGGGGCCGCGGCGCCGCGUGAGCCCUCCACUGCGCGGCCAAGGCCAUCUUUGCAUUGUUCGCUGCGCUGCGCCUGCGCCUGCGCCCGACCGCGCGGGGCUAUUUUUAUACAGAGCUAUUUUGUACCCGCCCGCACCGCACCAUGUCGGACACGGCCGUGGACACCAGCGCCGAGAUCUCCGCCAAGGUGAGGAAGAGGACGGUGACGAAGACGACGAAGCCGAGGGGGCCACAGGCAAACGGGCGGCUGAGGACGAUGAGGUGAGCGGGGAUGGAUCCCAGGCGCUUUGCUGGAGCAGAGCUGGCCGGGUCCCCCGGAGGGAUCCACCGGGGCACGUGUGGGCCAGGGAGCCUGGCUGGGCUCUUGGAGCCCAGCUCCUGCCCCCAUCCCGGGCACGGCUCUCGCGUUUGCCUCCGGGGUGCUGCCCUCGGGGACUCAGCCCGCUUCCAUUUGUACCCGUGGCCUGCUUAGGAGCGCCCUCGGCUGCAGCCGGAGCAGCCCGUGCUCCCGCGCUGGGAUGGCACAGCUGGGAGGGGAGUCUUCCUCCACGCUCUGCUGGCAGCUGGGGAAGGGGCUGGCGCAACCCCGGAUGCCCUGGCUGGGUUAGGAAGGGGACGAGGGGGGUGACGGACGCUGAACCCCAGCACAAUGGUGCUGGGAGCCGGCUCUGCCCUCUCCAGCCCUUGGCCUCUCCUGGGCAGUGCCAGCGGCACGUCAAAGGGUGCAAGAGACGGGGCUGGUGCGGGCAAGACGGCUGCUUCCUGAGGAGAGCGGCAGCUCGCUGGGUACCUCGGGUGGGGUCUGCGCAGAGCCAGGUGCACAGAAAGGCCACUCGGAUAAGGCCCCUUAUCUCCGCGCGGGAGAGGAAGCCGAAAACCCGCCUCCAGGAGCAAAGGCUGAAUCCCUUCUUGCUGGGGCUGGCAGGGAGGCAGAGGGAACCACGGUCCUUGGCCCCUCGUGGCCGCCCCAGAGCUGGGCAGGAUGGGGCAUUUGGGCUCCCUAAAACUGCAGGGCAAAGAGGUGCCAAGGGGGCAGC
This 1412-nucleotide long non-coding RNA is filed under the name Crocodylus porosus (Australian saltwater crocodile). Its description in RNAcentral is "lncRNA (ENSCPRG00005012063.1)". Lineage: Eukaryota; Metazoa; Chordata; Crocodylia; Crocodylidae. The record is from RNAcentral.